GGGCCUGUAGCUCAGAGGAUUAGAGUGCAUGGCUAUGAACCACGGAGUCGGGGGUUCGAAUCCCUCCUUUCCUA
This is a non-coding RNA of Nicotiana sylvestris (wood tobacco), 74 nucleotides long. Lineage: Eukaryota; Viridiplantae; Streptophyta; Magnoliopsida; Solanales; Solanaceae. The record is from Rfam.